This 301-nucleotide ribosomal RNA is filed under the name uncultured bacterium. RNAcentral describes it as "partial 16S ribosomal RNA". It matches the Rfam family "Bacterial small subunit ribosomal RNA", at positions 510 to 808 of the family's 1533-position model. The record is from RNAcentral.
CACAGCCGCGGGAAUACGAAGGGGGCUAGCGUUGUUCGGAAUUACUGGGCGUAAAGCGCACGUAGGCGGACAUUUAAGUCAGGGGUGAAAUCCCGGGGCUCAACCCCGGAACUGCCUUUGAUACUGGGUGUCUAGAGUAUGGAAGAGGUGAGUGGAAUUCCGAGUGUAGAGGUGAAAUUCGUAGAUAUUCGGAGGAACACCAGUGGCGAAGGCGGCUCACUGGUCCAUUACUGACGCUGAGGUGCGAAAGCGUGGGGAGCAAACAGGAUUAGAUACCCGGGUAGUCCCUGUCUCUUAUACC